UCUGCCGGAGCUGCAGCUGUGUGAAGGAGCCGGUGUUAGAGCUGAGAUCAGAAGAACAGUCCAUCUGUACAGAGAUGUGGUCUCUGGUCUUGGUGCUGGUAAGGGGUCUGACAGCUGCAGGAUGAACCAUCUCCAGAUGCUGUGCUCACUGUUGAGCCAACACUGACUGAGGGACAGUUAUGGACAGAGCUGCCAGCCUCCAUCUGGCUCUCAGAUGACAGGCGGAGCCUCUGGGCUGCUCAUUGUGGAGCUGACAGUCCUCCUGCAGGUGAAGGAGCAUGUGCAGCAGCUGGCCUGCAGGGGGCAGCACCCACCUGAGGAGUUGAGACAUCAGUGAGAUCCUGCCAGGCUGGUCUGGAUGAGACCCGGUCUCAGUCCACCUGCUGAAGGUCUUCAGUACACCUGUGUCAGACUGAUCUGCUGAGACUGAAAAGAAAAUGUUCUGGAUAAUGUCUGAAGAUUUCACCAACAUUUAACUUCUAUAAGAUAUGAUCAUAAACCUGAUGUGAUCAUACAGUAAUGUAAAAUCUCUGUGAAUCAAAUGUGUAUGUGUUCAAAAUAAA
Seriola dumerili (greater amberjack) is the source of this 563-nucleotide long non-coding RNA. RefSeq lists it as uncharacterized. The transcript is spliced from 6 exons. The record is from RefSeq and is a predicted model, not a curated record. Lineage: Eukaryota; Metazoa; Chordata; Actinopteri; Carangiformes; Carangidae.